AGAGUUUGAUUAUGGCUCAGGAUGAACGCUGGCGGCGUGCUUUAUACAUGCAAGUCGAACGUGAAGCUGACUUCGGUCAGUGGAAAGUGGCGGACGGGUGAGUAAUACAUAGGAAAUCUGCCCUUAGGAAGGGGAUAACAGUCGGAAACGAUUGCUAAUACCCUAUAUGAGCUUGGUUGCAAUACCAAUCUUGAAAACUCCGGUGCCUAAGGAUGAGCCUGUGCCUGAUUAGCUUGUUGGUGGUGUAAUGGACCACCAAGGCGACGAUCAGUAGCUGGUUUGAGAGGAUGAUCAGCCACAAUGGAACUGAGACACGGUCCAUACUCCUACGGGAGGCAGCAGUAGGGAAUUUUGGGCAAUGGGCGAAAGCCUGACCCAAGCAACGCCGCGUGUGUGAUGAAGCCCCUAGGGGUGUAAAACACUGUCAGUAGGGAAGAAUCAAUGACUGUACCUACAGAGGAAGCACCGGCUAACUCCGUGCCAGCCGCGGC
Molecule: ribosomal RNA, 491 nt
Filed under: uncultured bacterium
Lineage: Bacteria
Description: bacterial SSU rRNA
Rfam family: Bacterial small subunit ribosomal RNA
Source: RNAcentral